AUGAGUGUGUUCAGACUACCUGCGUCAGUAUGUGAUGAUCUAACCAAGAUGAUGAGAUAGUAUUGGUGGGGGGUGGAAAAUGGCAAGAGAAAGAUGGCAUGGCUAAGCUGGGAGAAGAUGAUGCUACCCAAGGCCAUGGGGGGCAUGGGAUUCCGAGACCUAAGGGCUUUUAAUCAGGCUUUGCCUGCCAAGCAGGCCUGGCGCCUACUAGAUAGCCUAGAUAGCCUAUGCGCGAGGUUAUUGAAGGCCAAAUUUUACCCGAGGGCAAACCUGCUGGACACUGUUUUUUCUUCAAACUGUUCGGCGAUUUGGAAAGGUAUUGUUCACGGACUUGAGCCUGUGAAGAAAGGCAUUAUAUGGCGUGUUGGCAAUGGCACACUGAUAAAGACUUGGAGGGAUGAUUGGAUCCCGCGCGGACACAAUAUCAGACCGAUCACACCUAAAAGGAAUUGUCGUUACAAUUGGGUGGCUGAUUUUUUGAACAAACAUGGUGCAUGGAAUGUGGAACGACUUAGGGAGAUUUUUUGGGACAUGGAUGUAAGGGAGAUUUUGAAGAUCCAAACGUCUCCAAGGAAUGGGAAGGACUUCGUUGCUUGGUUUCCGGAGCGGUCUGGGCAGUUCACUGUCCAUAGCGCUUAUCACCUGGCCACGGAAGUCCAGUACUCAGUGCAUCUUAGCUCGUCCAACAGCAAUUAUUCAGGUCGGAGGCCCAUUUGGCAGCGGAUUUGGAGCUCUUGAGUACCUCUGAAGAUGAGAAUCAUGGCGUGGAAGGCUGUUUCGGGGGCUCUCGCUACAAAUGAGUGCAAGAAAUACCGACACAUCUCUACUAGAGAUGGCUGUCCGGUGUGCGGCCGAGAGAAGGAGACUAGCUUUCAUGCUCUUGUUUCAUGCGAACAUGCUAGGAGGAUCCGGGCUCAGAUGAGAACCGUAUGGCGACUACCUAGCCACGAUGUUCUUCGUGAUACAGGGAAGGAUUGGCUCUUAAACGUCCUUGCAAACUAUGAUGAUCACAUGCGGGACUGCAUGAUUAUGUUGAUAUGGAGGAUCUGGUCAUUACGAUCGGACCUAACACAUGGAAAGGAGGCUCUUCCCGUAACGGCAACGUCGGACUAUCUCCAAAGCUAUAUGAACCCCUUGAACCUGUGUUGCAGAUGUUCCAUGGAAAAAAUUCUUAAAGGGAAGAUGCCAAUGAUUCGGGAUACAACUGUCGAGGUCUCUAUUCCUCGAACCCCUCUUCACUGGCCGCGGCCGCCGACGGACCAGGCUGUUCUUUCGGUGGAUGGGGCUUUCAUGCAAGAGGACAGAUCUGCGGCGGCGGGUAUGAUACUAUGGCGUCAUGAUGGAAGUGUCAUCUUCGCGGCAUACAGGUGCAUUUUCAAUUGUAACGACGCGUUGGAAGCGGAACUGCAUGCAAUAAUGCAGGGUAUGGUCAGCAUUGUUCCCUGCCGAUUGUUGUUCAGUCAGACUCAUCCAUGGCACUAG
RNAcentral lists this ribosomal RNA (1482 nucleotides) under Triticum aestivum (bread wheat). RNAcentral describes it as "partial small subunit ribosomal RNA". Lineage: Eukaryota; Viridiplantae; Streptophyta; Magnoliopsida; Poales; Poaceae. The record is from RNAcentral.